AUGAUCAGUGAUAUAACCAGUCUGAUUUUCCUGUUUUACUGGACUGCAGUUUUAGCAGAAGAUAACGGAGUCCACCAAAUCCCCGGUGUCCUCUGGCAUGUGAAAGGAGAAUCUGCUGAAAUGAAGUGCAGUCAUAAUAAAGGUGCUCUCUACUAUCAGAUGUACUGGUACAGACAGCGCCAAGGAGAGAGCAUGGAGCUCAUUGUUUACAAAACAACCAGUGGUGAACCAGAGUUUGGCUCUGUGGAUAAAAAUAAAUUUUCUACUGUUAAAAACAUUGCUGCAAAUGGAUCUUUAACUGUGAAGGAUCUGGAUAUAGAGGACAGUGCUGUGUAUUUCUGUGCAGUAAGUGAACACAGUGUUACAGAGUUACUGCACUGCUGA
Non-coding RNA from Hemibagrus wyckioides, 384 nucleotides. The record is from the annotation of a RefSeq genome assembly. Lineage: Eukaryota; Metazoa; Chordata; Actinopteri; Siluriformes; Bagridae.